AAACUUUCAACAACGGAUCUCUUGGUUCUGGCAUCGAUGAAGAACGCAGCGAAAUGCGAUAAGUAAUGUGAAUUGCAGAAUUCAGUGAAUCAUCGAAUCUUUGAACGCACAUUGCGCCCUCUGGUAUUCCGAAGGGCAUGCCCGUCUGAGCGUCAUU
Molecule: ribosomal RNA, 157 nt
Filed under: Xenostigmina sp. FG7.3
Lineage: Eukaryota; Fungi; Ascomycota; Dothideomycetes; Mycosphaerellales; Mycosphaerellaceae
Description: 5.8S ribosomal RNA
Rfam family: 5.8S ribosomal RNA
About the family: 5.8S ribosomal RNA (5.8S rRNA) is a component of the large subunit of the eukaryotic ribosome.
Source: RNAcentral